UGCGCCAUGGCUUGCGGCGCCACUUUGAAAAGGACUCUGGAUUUCGACCCGCUGCUGAGCCCGGCGUCCCCGAAGCGGAGGCGAUGUGCGCCAUUGUCAGCCCCGGCCUCGGCCGCUGCCUCCUCCUCCUUCGCCGCCGCCUCCCCGCAGAAAUACCUGCGUAUGGAGCCCUCGCCCUUCGGAGAGGUGUCGUCCCGGCUCACCACAGAACAAAUUCUGUACAACAUAAAACAGGAGUACAAACGCAUGCAGAAGAGGAGACACUUAGAAAAUAGCUUCCAGCAGACAGAUCCUUGUUGUUCUACUGAUGCACAGCCACAUGCAUUUCUCCUUACUGGACCAGCUUUGCCAGGUACUUCAUCUGCAGCCUCAUCACCAUUGAAAAAAGAACAGCCCCUGUUUACUCUCAGACAAGUUGGAAUGAUCUGUGAACGCUUGCUGAAAGAACGUGAAGAGAAAAUCCGUGAAGAGUAUGAAGAAAUUUUGACCACAAAACUUGCAGGUGAAGCUCAUCCCUGCAAGAGGAUGGGGACUUUAAUGGGGCAAACCUGUGGGACUAGGAACCACUACAAAUCUAACUGCAUUUUUGGUUGAAGAUUGCCUUCUUUGACCUUGCCCCUUUCUCAGAACACCCCACAUUGCUGCACAUGUAUUUUUCCACAAGGGAGGAAGGGCAAUGGAGAGGAGCAGCAUCUGAACAAUACGACGCAUUUGUGAAGUUCACGCAUGAUCAAAUCAUGCGACGAUAUGGAGAACAGCCUGCCAGUUAUGUUUCAUGAAUCACACUUUCUGCAUAUGUGGGCUGCCCUAUACACCCCGUUUUAUUGUUGCAAGCUGUCCCAGUAAAGACUUGCAGCAAUGCCAUAUUUUUUCCCCCUGUGAACACAGGUUAUUUCAAGCUUUUGUCAGUGGCAACCACUCUUAUGCAGCAACUGGUUUUGGAGUGCUCCCUGAUGUCAGUACCACCUGGAUGUGGACCUUUGCUACCUGUAAUAAUACCAGUGGCCUCAUUUGCUGUAUCAUUACAAUUUGGCUUCUUAUGUUAAUAAGUUUGAAAAAGUUAAAGGAUUAAAGCUGGUGUUCUAGAAGUUGCCCUUCACUGGUUGUGUAAAUAAAAUUGUAGAAUGACACUUCUGACUGAAGUUAGUGUGAUUUUCAUAACUGUGCACUACAACAAAGCUGUAAUCACAGUUAAGUUAGAAUGUAAUCCCAGGACAAUUUUAAGCAAAUAGCCCACAGUACUGCCUGUGAAAUAGUGAAGGAGGGCAUUUCUGUAUUCCAUGACUUUUUUGGGGGUUAAGAAUGGGUUUAUAUGAUUUCUCAUUUUUGUAGUUUUUAUUUAUUCUAUCAGUCUUUAACAAAUGUUUAUUGCUGCAAUUUUUCAGUGUAUCAUUGUUUUACUGCCCUUGUAGUACUGGAAUUUAGUUGGAAGAAUAAAACAUUUACUUCUAA
RNA transcript from Pezoporus occidentalis (night parrot), 1452 nucleotides. It is a transcript of the gene named akirin 2, with no coding region annotated. Lineage: Eukaryota; Metazoa; Chordata; Aves; Psittaciformes; Psittacidae. The record is from RefSeq and is a predicted model, not a curated record. The transcript has 6 exons.